Molecule: transfer RNA, 67 nt
Filed under: Gunungiella acanthoclada
Lineage: Eukaryota; Metazoa; Arthropoda; Insecta; Trichoptera; Philopotamidae
Description: tRNA-Asp
Source: RNAcentral
UAAGAAUUAGUUAAUAUAUAACAUAAAACUGUCAAAUUUAAAUAAUUAUAAUAUCUAAUAUUCUUAU